UACGUAGGGGGCAAGCGUUAUCCGGAUUUACUGGGUGUAAAGGGAGCGUAGACGGCGAAGUAAGUCUGAAGUGAAAGCCCAGGGCUCAACCCUGGGACUGCUUUGGAAACUGCAUUGCUAGAGUGUCGGAGAGGUGAGUGGAAUUCCUAGUGUAGCGGUGAAAUGCGUAGAUAUUAGGAGGAACACCAGUGGCGAAGGCGACUCACUGGACGAUAACUGACGUUGAGGCUCGAAAGCGUGGGGAGCAAACAGG
Molecule: ribosomal RNA, 253 nt
Filed under: uncultured bacterium
Lineage: Bacteria
Description: partial 16S ribosomal RNA
Rfam family: Bacterial small subunit ribosomal RNA
Source: RNAcentral